Molecule: long non-coding RNA, 210 nt
Filed under: Pan troglodytes (chimpanzee)
Lineage: Eukaryota; Metazoa; Chordata; Mammalia; Primates; Hominidae
Description: lincRNA
Source: RNAcentral
AGGGCUACAAAACAUACAGCAGAAAAGAUGGCUUGAAGGCAAUUGAUGUUUGUAAAUAAAUCCACAACAGGAUCCAAGCUGAAGAGGUGAACACAUCAGCCGGGUGGGACAAUUCUCAGCAUGUACAAACAUAGGCAAAUUCUAGCCUAUGUUACAUUGAAAACAAUGUCAGUGCAUUUUUUUCAUGUUAAAGAUGUUUUCAAAGCUAAA